ACCGAUGCGCGCGGCGGCACACUGCGCCGAGGAGGAGCUAUGUUGCCCUCCGCUCUCCUCCAAUGUACCGCCCCUACGCCGAAGUCGGAAGAGACGUCGGAGCCAUCGUCCCUGCGCCACGCAAUGUUUGGGAUGGCCUCCUACCGGUGCACGCUGCUGCUCGAGCUCCCCCUACCCCGCCUCUUGCUGUGCGCCCCCGUGUGCGCCUUCCUCGACGUGCUAUGACCUCUCGUCGGGCCUCGCUCUCUGCGUCUCCGCCGAUGCAUCUCACUUCCCCCACUAAAGAUAGUGGAGAUGUUCAGGUGGACCUCCUCGCCCUCCCGUUGAUCCCUGAUGUGAAUUAGGAAUGAUGAUACUCUUAAUUGUAAGGCUAUUGGAGAGGUCAAAUUAUCUUCUAAAGUGUAUUUAUAAUAAUUUCUACAUGUCAUUGUUUAAUGACCUGGUUUCCCCCUACAUGUUAGCACGGUGAAGAUAAUCUCUUGAAUAGAUAAUAUGGUAGAUCAAAACAAUUGAUAGGUAGAAUCUUUCUCAUGACCUCUAUGUCUGGAUUAUUCUCGAGUGGACCCAAUAUAAUUUGCCACUCUGUUCCACUGAUCCAAUGUCAGAUCUUUACUAGCUAACAAGCUUGAUCCAGUUUGUAUCAUUAAAUUCUUUUAUAUUCAUGUUAUUUUCCGCUCCUCUACUAAUGAGAAGUAUUUAUCCUUUCAGUAUUGUGACAUCUACAAUAAUCCAUGCAGUGCUUAUUUGAUAUACCAUUUUUAUUACAUUGUUUCAUAACAAUUAUUUUUUACUAUUGUCUUUUUUCACAUGAAUUCUUUUACUGACACCUACUUAUGUGGAUAUGUGAUGUUUGUCCAGCACUAUUGAUUUUUUUGGUCAAUGUGCUCAGUGAGGCUCAGGAUGGGAUUCUAGAUUUGAACAGCACAACUGACACUUUAGGACGCAUCUUGGACCAAACAAUUAAGUAAUUCCUGAUGAAAACUAUACCUUCAACUCGAGCAUCUUGUUGGAAUUUAUUUUGUAUUUGUUUUAACACGCUGACUAGGGUCUUAUGGGAAAAUUUCAAAAUUGCAUGCUACUAAAUUAUAUUGUUUCUACAAGACUGCAUUUCAGUGCAAUUAUGAUAUGACCUCAAAGUUUACAUGUUCUUGUUCUUGCAGGUCAACGCAGUUGGAGAGGAAAUGGGAAUAAGGUUUCUAGGGCUUGGCUUAUGAGCACCGAGUGAUAUACCAAUAAUGGCAAAAAUAACUCUCUCCUUUAACCUUGUAAGCUUAUAUCUUUUUGAACUUUGUUUUAUUCCUGGAAUGUUAACUACUGCUCGCCAGACACCUCAAACCAUUAUGCUUCUUUUGACUUUUAAGCAUAGCAUUCUUGAUAUACUUAAAUUUUUAAAUGAGACUUGUUAGUUACCAAGAUAAUGUGUUGAGCACUUUGGGGUAAAUGACUGAUAACUCAUUGUUCAAAUAUGCGUUAGGCAAUGGUUGUUACUAUUUUGUGUAAGACUUGACAGAAACAAUCAUCGGCUUGUAGGGAAGAUACAAAAUAAUGAGGAAUUACAUGCCUAAAGUUGGUACUCUUGGCCUUGAUAUGAUGUUCCUGACAUGUACUGUGCAGAUGAUCAUAUUUCUAGGAGUGCCAUUUUCAUAAUGACAUCACUUAUUCAUUUGGAGUACUCAUCUAAGCACUGAGUUGCUAUCUUAAGGUUACCAAUUUCAUGUUCUUUAAAAACAGAUUACCAAUUGCAUGGAAUUACUCUUUGUAGUGCUUGAUAUUAUUGUAUUGUAUGUACUGAACAGUUGGACAACUCUUCAUCAAAUGAAUUAUCGCCUGACAGUUUUUUGUCAUUUAUUCCCCCAUUCUAAAUUAUAAGAUAUUUAAAAUUUUCUAGAUGCAUCGAUUUAUUAUGUAUCAUACAUAGUGUAUUUUUUUCAGACAGUGUAGGUGCAUAGAAAAAGCUAUGUGUUUAUAAAAGCCAAAACUUCUUAUGAUUUAGAAUGGAGGGAUUAUAGUUUAGAAUGGAGGGAGUAUUGAGUACUAUGUUAACACUUUCAGUUUUUUGCUUUAUUAAAUGCCUUCCUACAAUGAGUUACGGGUCCACCUCAAAUCGGAAAGAACUAAAGAAGACAUGCCACAUUUUCUCAUGCAGAUUGUGUUGUAUGAAUCAACCUAGAAUGAGUCUUCCUGAGACUUAGGUAAAACCUGGACAACAUAUCUAUUGUUCUGUUCAAACUCUUGGUCAUUUUUAACUCAUGUUAACAGAAUACAAAUAAAGGUAAAUUUGUUUCAGUUAACCCGAUUUGUAUUAUGAGCUAACCCAAUUUGCUUAACUCGUGUUAACAGAGGCACAUUGUAUUAUGAGCUAACCCGAUUUGUUUUUUAGCUUUCAGCACUUCCAUAUUCUGCUCAUUGUGUAUUUUUUUUGUUUUCUUAAUACCGUUGUACUAUAUGUCACAACCUUUCAUGCAUUGACCAAUAACUUAGCAUUUGGAAUGGGUUUCUCCUUUCUGUAUCAUUAUGUAUUUAUGUGUACUUCCAGGGAGUACCAUUUUCUUCAUGUUGGCGAUGAAAUGCUACAAUCUAAGUCGCUUGAUCGAGAUUCAUAUGUCUUUG
RNAcentral lists this long non-coding RNA (2610 nucleotides) under Zea mays. RNAcentral's name for it is "long non-coding RNA (ZMAY_LNC002811)". The record is from RNAcentral. Lineage: Eukaryota; Viridiplantae; Streptophyta; Magnoliopsida; Poales; Poaceae.